GAGGACCACAAAUGCAAAGCAAAAACUCAGAAUACGUGUGUCAAAAAAAGACAUGCAUCAUAUAACAUCAUAUAAUCACUAAGAAAAUAGGUAUUCCUGGAAGCACUCCUUGAUUCACUUCAUUUAGUAAAAAGAAGAAAAGAGGAAAAGAUUCCUAUUCCACUAUAAUUAAAGUAAUGAACAUGCCAUAUGUAUCUGCAGUCAUACAUGGAAAAGUCUGUGGGACUAGGACUGAGGAGGAUAAAAGAUUGGGACUGAGCACCAGAAGAGACAGAAAGAAACAAGAGAAUGAGAAAAGUUAUCUUGCAGAAUGAAUAAUUCUGGAAUAUUUUGGCCUGCUGCAUACUGAGGCUUUUGAAAUUGAUAUCCAUGCAUGUUACAACUUCUAUACUUUAUUCUGCUUAUGCCAGUUUUCUUAGCAGUUUUUACCUCUUACCAGAGCCAGAGGAUUCAGUUAUAAAAUUUUGACACUUGCAAACCUAGACGUGCUCAGAAGCCGCUGCAGCCUGUAAGACUUAACAACAGAUUUCUGGUCUGUAACUACAUGUGACAUUCUGUCUGAGAACAAAUUUCAGACCAAGACCUGUAUCUUUACCACCCAGAGCUUUUUUUAAUUGAUGAAAUCUGAUUUUCGUGGGUAUAGGAAGUGAUAUUGAUCAUCCAUUUCAGGCUACUAAGAAGUUAAAAAAUUGCUUUUCUGGGUAAUCAGGCAAACAAAGAAAGGUUCUCUGAUCAAAAUAUUAUCUUCUAUGAGCAUACAAGACAAGAAGCCUCCCACUAGAUUCCCCCUAGACUUCAUAUGCUAGUGCCUGCUCAGGCUGGAGUGAGGUUUCCUGCUUUCAUAGUGGCCAUCCAGGCAAUACCCAGUAGCUAGGCUCCAAGAGGAGAGCUACCCAGUAAAAACAGUUUGGUGUCCACAUUUUGGAGAUGAAGAGAUGAGGUAGGGCAUCAUACUGUGUUCUGUGGAUGUAGCUCCAGGUUUCUGUAUGCCCCUCUCUGCCCCUCUGACUGUGCAGGCUACGCCCCUUCUCAAACAGCAUCCACACACCACUGAUUUUCCAAGAGUGAAGAAUGAAGAGUGAAGUUUUGUUUUGUAGAAAAAUAAGCCAGUUUCAGAGAGAGGUUUGAUCCAGCCCUCAACAGUGUCUCUUAAGAAGUUCCUUUUAACCAAAAUAUCAAAAAUUCAAGGAAAAAAUGGCUAUGUAUUUCUACUGACGUAGUUUACAGCAAUGUGAAAGGACAGUUCGUAAAUUUCAUCAUCAUGGGACUUACUAAGGCUAAUACAUUUUUUUAGUAGCAAGUUGUUUAGACUGAGCAUUACAAAAUGUGCUGAAGCUAAAUGUGAAAUAUUCAAAUGGCUGACAACAGCCUCUUGGCCAUCUGACGUCAGAUCUCAUUACCCCAGAAAAUAUUAUAUUUGGGUCACAGGUGCCCAUAUGAGCAGCAUUUGGAUCCUCGUGGACUUCUAUUUUUUUGAAGGUGAGAUAUGAAAAUGUACACAAGAAGAAAAAGAUGUUCAGCAAAAACAUUCAACAAAAAGUCUGCAUAUGAGUGUUUCUUAUUGCUUUGUAUUUAACUUUGAGAUUCCCUCUAACUUCUGAAGAACAGAAGUGUUGAUUAAAGAAGAGAUUUCAGAAAAUUACGAAAAAGCUGUAGGAUCUGAUUCCCCUACAGUGCCCAUGAACAUUUUGAGGAUAAUAAAUCUUUAAACACAGUGAAAGUGAUGCA
This is a long non-coding RNA of Phasianus colchicus (ring-necked pheasant), 1728 nucleotides long. NCBI's taxonomy places the organism in Eukaryota, Metazoa, Chordata, Aves, Galliformes, Phasianidae. The record is from Ensembl.